RNAcentral lists this ribosomal RNA (255 nucleotides) under uncultured bacterium. Its description in RNAcentral is "partial 16S ribosomal RNA". It matches the Rfam family "Bacterial small subunit ribosomal RNA", at positions 524 to 776 of the family's 1533-position model. The record is from RNAcentral.
UACGUAGGGUGCAAGCGUUUGUCCGGAAUUAUUGGGCGUAAAGAGCUCGUAGGCGGUCUGUCACGUCGGCUGUGAAAUCCCGAGGCUCAACCUCGGGUCUGCAGUCGAUACGGGCAAACUAGAGUAUUGCAGGGGAGACUGGAAUUCCUGGUGUAGCGGUGAAAAUGCGCAGAUAUCAGGAGGAACACCGGUGGCGAAGGCGGGUCUCUGGGCCGGAACUGACGCUGAGGAGCGAAAGCGUGGGGAGCGAACAGG